RNAcentral lists this ribosomal RNA (404 nucleotides) under Fusobacteriota bacterium. RNAcentral's name for it is "Fusobacteria bacterium partial 16S ribosomal RNA". It matches the Rfam family "Bacterial small subunit ribosomal RNA", at positions 355 to 776 of the family's 1533-position model. The record is from RNAcentral. Lineage: Bacteria; Fusobacteriati; Fusobacteriota.
UGGGGAAUAUUGCACAAUGGAGGGAACUCUGAUGCAGCGACGCCGCGUGAGUGAUGAAGGACUUCGUUUCGUAAAACUCUGUUCUAUGGGAAGAAAAGGACUGUACCAUAGGAGAAAGCUCCGGCUAAAUACGUGCCAGCAACCGCGGUAAUACGUAUGGAGCGAGCGUUGUCCGGAAUUAUUGGGCGUAAAGGGUGCGCAGGCGGCUUUACAAGUUGGAUGUGAAAUAUUGUGGCUCAACCACAAACGUGCAUCCAAAACUGCAAAGCUUGAGUUAAGGAGAGGUAAGUGGAAUUCCUGGUGUAGCGGUGGAAUGCAUAGAUAUCAGGAGGAAUACCGGUGGCGAAGGCGAAUUACUGGACUUAAACUGACGCUCAGGCACGAAAGCGUGGGGAGCAAACAGG